GAGAUGGCUCAGUGGUUAAGAGCACUGGCUGCUCUUCCAGAGGACCUGGGUUCAAUUCCCAGCUCA
Molecule: transfer RNA, 66 nt
Filed under: Cricetulus griseus (Chinese hamster)
Lineage: Eukaryota; Metazoa; Chordata; Mammalia; Rodentia; Cricetidae
Rfam family: tRNA
About the family: Transfer RNA (tRNA) molecules are approximately 80 nucleotides in length. Their secondary structure includes four short double-helical elements and three loops (D, anti-codon, and T loops).
Source: Rfam by way of RNAcentral